Molecule: non-coding RNA, 1378 nt
Organism: Xyrichtys novacula (pearly razorfish)
Lineage: Eukaryota; Metazoa; Chordata; Actinopteri; Labriformes; Labridae
Source: the annotation of a GenBank genome assembly
AAGUCUUAUAACUUUUUAUUUUUGUCCUCACUGGCCUCCAAGUUCUCUAGGAUGAUGCAAUGUCCAGCCAUCAACACAUGUGUGAAGGAAUUUUUACUCCCCAAAAGAGCGCCCCCACAUGGCAGUAGAAAAAAGUCCAUUUUUUCUUGUCCCCUAAGGUGAAAAUACACAUUGUUGAGUGUCACGCCUAUACGCUUUGUCAUAUUGACCCAAAAUUUGACAAUCACGUGUAUCUCAAUAAGAUCUACGAAAAAGUCAAUGGGCACGUAUCUGUAAAAUGUACGGUUAAAGGGUUAUUUCGCAUUUUUUCCCGAUCCGCACACAUUGGAAUUUUGCUAACUCCUCCGAAGGCUUUAGUUCCACCGCCACCAAAUUUGCUCAGGCCAAUCUACACCCCAUGGCCAUUAAAAGUUGUACAAAUCAUGACGCUGCACCCCACAGUUUAUGUUCUAGGGGGCGCCAAAGAUAACCCAAAAAUCCACAGUCUUAAAAGUCUUAUAACUUUUUAUUUUUGUCCUCACUGGCCUCCAAGUUCUCUAGGAUGAUGCAAUGUCCAGCCAUCAACACAUGUGUGAAGGAAUUUUUACUCCCCAAAAGAGCGCCCCCACAUGGCAGUAGAAAAAAGUCCAUUUUUUCUUGUCCCCUAAGGUGAAAAUACACAUUGUUGAGUGUCACGCCUAUACGCUUUGUCAUAUUGACCCAAAAUUUAACAAUCACGUGUAUCUCAAUAAGAUCUACGAAAAAGUCAAUGGGCACGUAUCUGUAAAAUGUACGGUUAAAGGGUUAUUUCGCAUUUUUUCCCGAUCCGCACACAUUGGAAUUUCGCUAACUCCUCCGAAGGCUUUAGUUCCACCGCCACCAAAUUUGCUCAGGCCAAUCUACACCCCAUGGCCAUUAAAAGUUGUACAAAUCAUGACGCUGCACUCCACGGUUUAGGUUCUAGGGGGCGCCAAAGAUAACCCAAAAAUCCACAUUCUUAAUAGUCUUAUAACUUUUUAUUUUUCUCCUCACUGGCCUCCAAGUUUUCUAGGAUGAUGCAAUGUACAGCCAUCAACACAUUUGUAAAGGAAUUUUUACUCCCGAAAAGAACGCCCCCCCAUGGCAGGAGAAAAAAGUCCAUUUUUUCUUGUCCCCUAAGGUGAAAAAACACAUUGUUGACUGUCACGCCUAUACGCUUUGUCAAAAUGACACAAAAUUUGACACACACGUGUAUCUCAAUAAGAUCUACGAAAAAGUCAAUGGGCACGUAUCUGUAAAAUGUACAGGUUAAAGGGCUAUUUCGCAUUUUUUGCAGAUUCGCACACAUUGGAAUGUGGCUAACUCCUCCUAAGGCUUUCUUCCCACCGACACCAAAUUUGCUCAAGCCGAUCUACAUCCC